AGGAAAAAGAAGAAAACAAGGGAGAAAAGCUUCGGCUAAAAAAAGAGCAAAGGAAAGACAAGAGCAAAAAAAAAGGAACAGAGCAAGAGGACAGAAGUAGAAAAGAGAGCGACGGCUGGAAAACAGAGAAGAAACUAGGGUUUUAGGGAGAACGAGACGAGAGAAAAAAGUGGGAGGAAAGGAGUUUUGGGCUAAGAAAAACCAAACAGAGGAAAAAAGCAACGGGAGAGUGAGAGAUAGAGUGUGAGGGAGAGAUUGAGAGAGUUUCGGGAGUGAUCAGAAAAGAAGAGAAAGCAAGGAAGAAAAGAAAAAGUUGCGGGCUUGGGGAAAAAAGGAAAAAAGGGAGGAGCUUUGGGAAAGUUGGAAAAAAAAAAAGAAAAAACCAGAAAGCUAGGGUUGAAGGGGCGCGGAAAAGAAACCAAGCAAGAAACAGGAGAGCGGUGGGAUAAGAAAAAGGGAACUUUGACGGUUGGCUGAGCAAAGACCUGUUCCUCUGAUCACCUCACGCUUCAAUUUGCCUUUUAAAAGGCUAAAGAGAACGGUUUCCAAUUCAAAGGCAUGGUAAGCUAUCUCCAAGGAGCAAUGGACCUUUCCAGAAGAAUCAAUGAUAAUGCUUACAAAUUAGAUCUUCCAGGUGAGUUUAAUAUUAGUGCUACAUUUAACGUUGCUAAUUUAAGUCCCUUUCUUACAUAUUAUGAACGUGAUUUGAGGACAAAUCCUUCUCAAGAGAAGGGGAAUGAUACGGGAGAUUGUGAGGAGCAAGCUGUCCAAGCUUCUAGUUUUGAUCUGGUGAAGGUUCUUGUUGGUCUGGUCAUGCGAGCUCGAGCAAAAAAGUCCAAGGAAUCUCUUCAAACUUUAGUUCGUGCUGUUCAAGAACAAGAAGGGGUUCACAAGUUCAUUGAAGGGGUCGAGUCUCAAUCUAUCAAAGUUGUGAUUCAAGUUGAAGACAAUGAUGGUGAUCCGCCUAACAAUCCUUAAUGGAAGAUGGUUUGCAAGUCCCAAAAACGAAUGAGUCAGGUUUUGGGGUAGAAGACUUUAUUCAUGUUAGGUGUGCCCGCAUCUAACUCAGUACGAGUCUUUUGGUCGCGUGGUUUUCUUUAGUCUUUUGCAUAGUUUGUCUCUUAAAUAAAGUCGGACCAUAUUUGUGUUGUGUUGGAUCUGAUUAAUAAGUCUUAGACGUUUAGCCACUUGAAUAAAUCGACCAGCUUUGAAUGUCUUUGGACCAUUAAUUUGUUAGGUGAUUUAAGUCCAAUCCGAUGGAUAGGAUAAAUGAUGUAAUCCUAAUCCCAUUUGAAUUCGUUUAGUAGUGGUAGUAUUGGUUAUAAAUAGCCGUUUCUUUGCCUUGUAAUGGGGGAGAGGAAAUUUCCAGCAAUAAACACUUGUGUUAUUCUCUUGGCU
Molecule: long non-coding RNA, 1398 nt
Organism: Coffea arabica (coffee)
Lineage: Eukaryota; Viridiplantae; Streptophyta; Magnoliopsida; Gentianales; Rubiaceae
Source: RefSeq, a predicted model, not a curated record